UUUCCUUUGAAAAAAGUACCAACUUCGUUUUACAACUUUCAAGGUACAUUAUUGAGAGUACUUUAGCUCCAUCUGCUGGAAGUUUUAAGCAAUUACCUAUUACCAUGUUCCUUUUUCUCCCAAGCCACUUCACGUCUUCAACAUGUAUAGGAUUAAGAAAAACAAACAAGUAUGGAGAAACUCUUGCCCUGAAUGCCAUUUACAGUGCUUGAUUGUAUCUUACCAUAUCUGUUAAAUAAUGAGAAAGCACCAAUCAUCUUUGAAUCGAAUUAUUGCUGUGGAUGCUACCAUGAGGGUCCUAUUCUCGCUUUAGACCAGAAGUCAGCACAGAUGAAUAUUAUAUAAACAUUACUGGAGCCAGAGAGUGGACCACUUUGUAACUUUAGUAAAAUUAUCCUUCUUCAAACUCCUAUUCUGUUCAAAGCUGUUUUCCCAACUCCGUUCACAUUCCCUAUUCUUGGUAAUUUAUGAUGUGGUAAUUUGUGAUGGUUCUAACUUGAAACAUUCUUUCCUGCAUUUUGGAAUUCACAUUCAGAGCUCCCAGAUGAGAUCGGCAUUAUUUUCCCUAAUUUUUCAACAGCUCACUAAUGAUGCUAAUAAUAGCUCACGUUUUUCAAAAGCUCACAAUGUGCCUGAGGUGGAGUCACAUGUAAGUAUCUGUGAAGCAGACACUGUCUGUGUUUAGAAGAGCUGUAGUAAACAGCUCAAGGUCAAAGAGUUAGGAGGGAAGCAGCAGGCUUGAUGGAGUCAUUUGGCUCAGAGACAUUUCCUUCCUAACUGUCUCACUUGGUGAACGCAAAGGACGUACUUUGUUUUGAUAACACCCUUUCAUAAAUACUACAGCAUUUUUUAAGCAGCUGCAAUGUGUCAGGCUCCCUCCUGGGAAUCUAGGGAAACAGUCUUAGCCCAAGAAACUUCACAUUCCAGUGGUAGAUAAAUAAAGCGACGAAAGUAAACUGAAACCAGUCUGAUGUAGCUAGUGCUGUGGUGGAAGAUCUAGGCACGGUAAAGCAUUUCUGUUUCUAGCUUCACAUACAGCGGAACCAGCUAUACUUAAUGCCACCAAUAGCAGCUUCACAGUCGCAUUGCCUCCAGCCAAGACACAGCAUACUUGGAAUGGCCUCUCUGGCCCAACCCCAGCACACCUGGUUUAUUAUGCAGAACUGAAUGGAAGCACAAACAACUCUCACCUGAAGUAAAAAAUACUGGUGAGACCGAAGCUAGUCAUUUCUGUGUUUGUCACGAGAGGCCCUCAGCCACAGCAAAGCCUUUCCCAUAUGUUCUGAGGUGUACUACUCUGCAGGCCUUACAGCUGCUGAUUCAUCAAAACACAC
This 1334-nucleotide long non-coding RNA is filed under the name Heterocephalus glaber (naked mole-rat). RNAcentral's name for it is "lncRNA (ENSHGLG00000045616.1)". The record is from RNAcentral. Lineage: Eukaryota; Metazoa; Chordata; Mammalia; Rodentia; Bathyergidae.